This 610-nucleotide small RNA is filed under the name Pongo abelii (Sumatran orangutan). Its description in RNAcentral is "processed transcript". The record is from RNAcentral. Lineage: Eukaryota; Metazoa; Chordata; Mammalia; Primates; Hominidae.
GGAUUUGGUAGAGAAACCCCGGACUGGGAUCAUGGCAGCCGAGACUUGGAACGUGGCCGGAGCAGAGGCCCCGCCGCCCCAGAAGCGCUACUACCGGCAACGUGCUCACUCCAACCCCAUGGCGGACCACACGCUGCGCUACCCUGUGAAGCCAGAGGAGAUGGACUGGUCUGAGCUAUACCCAGAGUUCUUCGCUCCACUCACUCAAAAUCAGAGCCACGAUGACCCAAAGGAUAAGAAUGAAAAGAGAGCUCAGGCCCAAGUGGAGUUUGCAGACAUAGGCUGUGGCUAUGGUGGCCUGUUAGACACUGGUGACAUCAGCAUGGAGAGUCUCCACCUACCCUCUACUCUGGGUCUGUGACCUUUGCCCUGGAGAGUGGAGGGGGCUGCCUCAAAUGCUUCUUAAAACCUGGGUUGUCCUUUCUGGCUUCAAUCCCUACAUGAGCCAUUUCAUCUGCCAGGUUCCGGGUCAGUGAGCUGGUCAGCACAAGCGUCAGAGAUCAGCCAUUGUGGCCAGUGAUCCUGAACUGUCUUUCUCAGGGAUUCUACCAUCUCCCCUCCCCUUUGCCCCUCCCUCGCCAGAUCUCAUUCCUUCUGCCCCACUCUCCUG